UACGAAGGGGGCUAGCGUUGUUCGGAAUUACUGGGCGUAAAGCGCACGUAGGCGGACAUUUAAGUCAGGGGUGAAAUCCCAGAGCUCAACUCUGGAACUGCCUUUGAUACUGGGUGUCUUGAGUAUGGAAGAGGUGAGUGGAAUUCCGAGUGUAGAGGUGAAAUUCGUAGAUAUUCGGAGGAACACCAGUGGCGAAGGCGACUACCUGGCCUGUUCUUGACGCUGAGGCGCGAAAGCUAGGGGAGCAAACGGG
This 253-nucleotide ribosomal RNA is filed under the name uncultured bacterium. RNAcentral describes it as "partial 16S ribosomal RNA". It matches the Rfam family "Bacterial small subunit ribosomal RNA", at positions 524 to 776 of the family's 1533-position model. The record is from RNAcentral.